GGAUGGACUCGCGUCCAAUUAGCUAGUUGGUGAGGUAACGGCCCACCAAGGCGACGAUUGGUAGCCGGACUGAGAGGUUGAUCGGCCACAUUGGGACUGAGACACGGCCCAGACUCCUACGGGAGGCAGCAGUGGGGGAUAUUGCACAAUGGGGGAAACCCUGAUGCAGCGACGCCGCGUGAAGGAAGAAGGCCUUCGGGUUGUAAACUUCUGUCGUACGGGACGAUAAUGACGGUACCUGACUAAGAAGCCCCGGCUAACUAC
This 264-nucleotide ribosomal RNA is filed under the name uncultured bacterium. Its description in RNAcentral is "partial 16S ribosomal RNA". It matches the Rfam family "Bacterial small subunit ribosomal RNA", at positions 223 to 504 of the family's 1533-position model. The record is from RNAcentral.